UACGGGGGGGGAGCAAGCGUUGUUCGGAUUUACUGGGCGUAAAGGGCGCGUAGGCGGUCGUGACAAGUCACUUGUGAAAUCUCCGGGCUUAACUCGGAACGGUCAAGUGAUACUGUCGGACUAGAGUACAGAAGGGGCAACUGGAAUUCUCGGUGUAGCGGUGAAAUGCGUAGAUAUCGAGAGGAACACCUGCGGCGAAGGCGGGUUGCUGGGCUGAUACUGACGCUGAGGCGCG
This 235-nucleotide ribosomal RNA is filed under the name uncultured bacterium. RNAcentral's name for it is "partial 16S ribosomal RNA". It matches the Rfam family "Bacterial small subunit ribosomal RNA", at positions 522 to 755 of the family's 1533-position model. The record is from RNAcentral.